Molecule: small nuclear RNA, 134 nt
Organism: Onychomys torridus (southern grasshopper mouse)
Lineage: Eukaryota; Metazoa; Chordata; Mammalia; Rodentia; Cricetidae
Product: U4 spliceosomal RNA
Exons: 1
Source: RefSeq, a predicted model, not a curated record
CUCUUAGUUGCAGUAUCAUAGCCAGUGAGGUUUAUCCUAGGCACAAUUAUUGCUAACUAAAAUUUUUCCCAAUACCUGCUGUAAUAACUUGUGAUACACUCAGCAUUGGCAAUUUUUGACAGUCUCUACAGAGA